Molecule: long non-coding RNA, 707 nt
Organism: Gossypium arboreum
Lineage: Eukaryota; Viridiplantae; Streptophyta; Magnoliopsida; Malvales; Malvaceae
Exons: 3
Source: RefSeq, a predicted model, not a curated record
UCCAUCUUCUUCAUUAGGCCGAAAUUUCAAGGGUUCUCCAUAGCUAGGGUUUGUUUCAAGCUUCCAAGCUCCAUAAUCAAGAAAGACGUGGAAUCGACCUCAAUCGAGGAAAAGAAAAGAUUGUGGACUAAAUUGCAAAAUCUUUGUAUUUUGGUACCAAGGUUUAUGGGAACUUAAGGUUCGAGCUUAGAGACCAUUAGAAACUAAAACGAGGAGUUAAAAUGAGCAGAACAGAGCAUGCCCAAGCUAAGCACCCUUGCCCUAGGCCAAGUGCCCCUGCCCCGAGCCAACGCCCUAGCAUGCAGUUGGGUGAUCCUUUGUUGGUGCCCUUGCCUUGUCCCGAUGCCUUCACUCCCGGCCCAUAUGCCCUACCUCGUCUAGUUGCCCCCAAUGCCCCGGCCCGUGCACCCUUACGUCGAGCUUCCAAUGCCCUAGUGCCAACCUUGUUACUUUGAUGUGUCUCGUUCGAGUUUUGAUUGAGCUUCAAGGGUACUUUGGUCAAUUAGGAGUGUUACAACCUCAAGUAAGCUCUCGUAACCUAGUUUAGGUUAACUAAACAAUAUAAAUAUGAUAUUUUGAGAGGGAGUUAGAACUUUUGGCUAUUCUCUACCAUCAUAGCUAUUUUAUUGUCUAUUGCGUUUUCGAUUUUAUGGUUUUCUAAACUCCAUUUUUCUAGUCAAAGGAUUAUUGAAGUUCAAUUCUAUAAA